RNAcentral lists this ribosomal RNA (663 nucleotides) under Triticum aestivum (bread wheat). Its description in RNAcentral is "partial small subunit ribosomal RNA". The record is from RNAcentral. Lineage: Eukaryota; Viridiplantae; Streptophyta; Magnoliopsida; Poales; Poaceae.
AUGGCUUCCGCCCUAGGAGCCCAGGUGGCUGCCGUGGCGCCGAUUGGUUCGGAUGGUCGCCACUACAGGAGUUGUUCUUCGCUCAAGGGUAAUAACUCCUGCAAUAAGUCAUGGACUGGAAAAUUAGCAUGGGAAAACAAGACCCUGCAACCAAGACAUACGAAGAAGGUCUUUUGCAUGUCCGUGCAACAAGCAAGCAAAAGUAAAUGUAAAGUUGCUAUUAAACCUCUGGAGCUGGAGAAUACAAAGGAGCCACCCCUCAACUUGUACAAACCAAAGGGACCCUACACAGCCUCAAUUGUCUCCGUUGAGAGAAUUGUAGGUCCUAAAACUCCUGGUGAAACAUGUCACUUUGUCAUUGACCAUGGUGGUAAUGUCCCAUACUGGGAAGGACAAAGUUAUGGUGUCAUUCCUCCAGGAGAGAACCCAAAGAAACCUGGGGCCCCAAAUACCGUCCGACUCUAUUCUAUUGCGUCUACUAGGUAUGGUGAUUCUUUUGAUGGAAGGACUGCUAGUCUUUGUGUGUGCCGUGCUGUUUAUUAUGAUCCUGAAACUGGAAAAGAAGAUCCUUCAAAGAAGGGUAUCUGCAGUAACUUCUUGUGUGACUCAAAACUGGGUGACAAAAUUCAGAUCACAGGUAUGCAGCCGUGUAAAAAGCCUUAA